CAAUCAAGCACGAGACAUGGCCUCCUAAGCAGAAUGGGCUCUGGAUAGUCUUCUCUUCCCUGUCCUCCCCGAUGCUCACCCCCCUUCUCCUGUCCUGGGCUUGGUAUGCCUGUGUCCAGCUGCUAUGUCUACAUUCUGGUUGUGGUCCUCCCAGGCUCACCACCCGAGCCUUGCCUGAGUAAAGGCCUGUGGGAAAUUUCACUCCGUGGUUUCUGUUUGGGGAGGGUUCUGUUCCUACCUAAUUACUGUCCCAAGAAGAAAUUACCUGGUACCAAGAAUGGCAGAGUCUGUGGAAGUGGCCACCAUGUGUCUGGGCUGGGAUCUGGGUCCUAAGGAGGUUACAGCGUCUCCCUCCCAUGCAAAGGAGCAAUCCCAGAGGAGUAGCAACGUGUGAUGAGGAGCACUCCUUCCUCCCUGGGAACCAGCACAGGGCAGCUGCACACACCAUACCCACAGCCCCGUUAGGUUGCAUGAAGCCUCAAGUCUGUGACAAGAUCUUGGAAGACAGAGAUCAGCCUUCAUCAUCUACCACCAUCAGGUACUGGGGGUGGGGACGGGGCUCAAGCUGACACCCUGAGAUGACUACCAGGAACUUUGAGGACGACACUGAGUGGCUACAACAGAGACCGUGUAGUUCACUAGGCCCAGAUGUUGACUCACAGGCCACAGGAAGAGCAAACAUUCGUCUCUACACUGUGGGCAGCAGGACAGAACGAUGGAGACACUUGCAGAUGGCCUGCUUCUCUGAAUCCUCCGGUCUACACGGACCUUAUCAGCUGCAGUCCUAGCUGCACACCACCCUCAAGAACACCCUGCGCGCUUACAAGGAGCUUUAGUCACCUUUGAAGAUAGCAGCUUCCAACUCACCAAAACCCUCUACCACGUGAUGCUGAGGGGCUCUCAGAGGGGCUGCGUCCUGCUCCUGGGUGGGUCUUCUGUCCAUUAAACCUCUCUCUUAGCCCUCAUGGCUUAACAUUCAUAUUAAAAACCCCAACUAUGCGUAGUGAGGAGGUUUAGCCGUUGAGAGCACAGACCACUCCUGUAGAGAACCUGAACAUGUACGCAAUUUUUUAAAAAAAUAAUAAAAUAACUCUUGAAAAGAAAAGAAGAAA
Molecule: long non-coding RNA, 1112 nt
Organism: Mus musculus (house mouse)
Lineage: Eukaryota; Metazoa; Chordata; Mammalia; Rodentia; Muridae
Product: predicted gene 14616
Exons: 4
Source: RefSeq, marked validated